Molecule: ribosomal RNA, 518 nt
Filed under: uncultured bacterium
Lineage: Bacteria
Description: bacterial SSU rRNA
Rfam family: Bacterial small subunit ribosomal RNA
Source: RNAcentral
AGAGUUUGAUCCUGGCUCAGGACGAACGCUGGCGGCGUGCUUAACACAUGCAAGUCGAGCGGAAAGGCCCUUCGGGGUACUCGAGCGGCGAACGGGUGAGUAACACGUGAGUAACCUGCCCCUGACUCUGGGAUAAGCCCGGGAAACUGGGUCUAAUACCGGAUACGACCACUUCAGGCAUCUGAUGGUGGUGGAAAGAUUUCUUGGUUGGGGAUGGACUCGCGGCCUAUCAGCUUGUUGGUGGGGUAGUGGCCUACCAAGGCGACGACGGGUAGCCGGCCUGAGAGGGCGACCGGCCACACUGGGACUGAGACACGGCCCAGACUCCUACGGGAGGCAGCAGUGGGGAAUAUUGGACAAUGGGCGGAAGCCUGAUCCAGCAACGCCGCGUGAGGGAUGACGGCCUUCGGGUUGUAAACCUCUUUCAGCACAGGCGAAGCUGCCAUCACGUGUGGUGGUGGUGACGGUAUGUGCAGAAGAAGCACCGGCCAACUACGUGCCAGCCGCCGCGGUAAUAC